This 64-nucleotide transfer RNA is filed under the name Thielaviopsis punctulata. Its description in RNAcentral is "Ceratocystis radicicola tRNA". It matches the Rfam family "tRNA", at positions 1 to 62 of the family's 71-position model. Rfam says of the family: Transfer RNA (tRNA) molecules are approximately 80 nucleotides in length. Their secondary structure includes four short double-helical elements and three loops (D, anti-codon, and T loops). RNAcentral also lists the same sequence under 1 other name. The record is from Rfam by way of RNAcentral. Lineage: Eukaryota; Fungi; Ascomycota; Sordariomycetes; Microascales; Ceratocystidaceae.
GCCCGGUUAGCUCAAUCGGUAGAGCGUGAGACUCUUAAUCUCAAGGUUGCGGGUUCGACCCCCG